RNAcentral lists this unclassified non-coding RNA (200 nucleotides) under soil metagenome. Its description in RNAcentral is "partial contains internal transcribed spacer 2 and large subunit ribosomal RNA". The record is from RNAcentral.
CUGUUCGAGCGUCAUUUCAACCCUCAAGCUUUGCUUGGUAUCGGGCUACAUCAGUAAUGGUGGGCCUUAGAAUCAGUAGCGGUGCCAUCUGGCUCUAAGUGUAGUAAUAUUUCUCGCUAUAGACGUCUAACGGUAUCCUGCUAGAACCCCUAAUUUCUAUGUUUGACCUCGGAUCAGGUAGGGAUACCCGCUGAACUUAA